CAAUGGAUGUUCACUGCUAGCCUACACCAGGACCAGGUACCCAAAAGGGGGGAAAUAUCAAUCAUUAACAUUCUACUGAAAAACAUAAUGCAAAAAGGUAGAACACUAAAUGAGGCAACCUUUCAGACCAGUACCCAAUUACUCACACAAAGUCACAACGAUAUAUCACAACAGUAAACAGUUUUAAUCUCUUUCUUUCCUGUAGCCAAAAAUAACAGGCCUCCCUUGUAGAAUCUUGUACAUUUUUGUUUAUGAAACCACAAUGGGAUAUACCAUAAAAACUGAUGGA
This 289-nucleotide unclassified non-coding RNA is filed under the name Hevea brasiliensis (rubber tree). The record is from RNAcentral. Lineage: Eukaryota; Viridiplantae; Streptophyta; Magnoliopsida; Malpighiales; Euphorbiaceae.